This 71-nucleotide transfer RNA is filed under the name Phrynosoma platyrhinos (Desert horned lizard). RNAcentral's name for it is "tRNA-OTHER". It matches the Rfam family "tRNA". Rfam says of the family: Transfer RNA (tRNA) molecules are approximately 80 nucleotides in length. Their secondary structure includes four short double-helical elements and three loops (D, anti-codon, and T loops). The record is from RNAcentral. Lineage: Eukaryota; Metazoa; Chordata; Lepidosauria; Squamata; Phrynosomatidae.
GCCAGCGUGGUGUAGUGGUUUGAGCAUUGGACUACAACUCUGGAUACCAGGGUUCAAAUCCCUGCUUGGCC